CCGGGUGAGUAACACGUGACCAACCUGCCCUCGAGUGGGGAAUAACUCCGGGAAACCGGAGCUAAUACCGCAUAACAUCGCAAGAUCAAAGCCGCAAGGCGCUUGAGGAGGGGGUCGCGGCUGAUUAGCUAGUUGGUAGGGUAAUGGCCUACCAAGGCGAAGAUCGGUAGCCGGCCUGAGAGGGCGCACGGCCACACUGGAACUGAAACACGGUCCAGACUCUUACGGGAGGCAGCAGUGGGGAAUUUUGCGCAAUGGGGGAAACCCUGACGCAGCAACGCCGCGUGGAGGAUGAAGUCCCUUGGGACGUAAACUCCUUUCGACCGGGACGAUACUGACGGUACCGGGAGAAGAAGCACCGGCUAACUCUGUGCCAGCAGCCGCGG
This 386-nucleotide ribosomal RNA is filed under the name uncultured bacterium. Its description in RNAcentral is "bacterial SSU rRNA". It matches the Rfam family "Bacterial small subunit ribosomal RNA", at positions 100 to 520 of the family's 1533-position model. The record is from RNAcentral.